ACCUCAGAUCACUGUCUGUUUUGACAUUGAUGCCAAUGGCAUUCUCAAUGUAUCUGCCGAGGACAAGACUACAGGCCAGAAGAACAAGAUUACUAUCACUAAUGACAAGGGAAGACUGUCCAAGGAGGAGAUUGAGAAGAUGGUGCAAGAAGCGGAGAAAUACAAGUCAGAGGAUGAGGAGGUCAAGAAGAAGGUGGAGUCCAAGAAUGCCCUGGAGAACUAUGCUUAUAACAUGAGGAACACCAUCAAGGAUGAGAAGAUUGCUUCCAAGCUUGACGCAGGGGACAAGAAGAAGAUU
This 298-nucleotide long non-coding RNA is filed under the name Fragaria vesca (wild strawberry). Its description in RNAcentral is "long non-coding RNA (FVES_LNC000086)". The record is from RNAcentral. Lineage: Eukaryota; Viridiplantae; Streptophyta; Magnoliopsida; Rosales; Rosaceae.